AUGUUAGCGCAGUGUCGAAAUGAAGAUGUUAAGCUCACCGCCUGGGAAGUACGGUCGCAAGACUGAAACUUUAAGGAAUUGGCGGGGGAGCACCACAAGGGGUGCGGCGUGCGGUUUAAUCUAACUCAACGCAGAGAACCUUACUAGAAGCGACGGCAGGAUGAAGGUCAACUUGAAGAGUUUACCCGACGAGCCGAGAGGUGGUGCAUGGCCGCCGUCAGCUCGUGCUGUGAAGUGUCCAGUUAAGUCUGGCAACGAGCGAGACCUGUAUCCUCAAUUGCUAACAGCCACAUGUGGGACUGAGCACUUUGAGGAGACUGCCCUGGAAACAGGGAGGAAGGUGCAGGCCACGGUAGGUCUGUAUGCCCCGAAUCUUCUAGGCUACACGCGCGCAACAAUGGUUGGGACAAUGGGAUGCCACUCCGAAAGGAGAAGCUAAACCUCUAAACCCAAUCCAAGUCCAGAUUGAGGCUUGCAACUCAGCCUCAUGACGACGGAAUCCCUAGUAAUCAGAAGUCAUCAUCUUCUGGUGAAUAUGUCCCUGCUCCUUGCACACACCG
RNAcentral lists this ribosomal RNA (560 nucleotides) under uncultured archaeon. RNAcentral describes it as "bacterial SSU rRNA". It matches the Rfam family "Archaeal small subunit ribosomal RNA", at positions 787 to 1348 of the family's 1478-position model. The record is from RNAcentral.